This 71-nucleotide transfer RNA is filed under the name Camelus ferus (Wild Bactrian camel). It matches the Rfam family "tRNA". Rfam says of the family: Transfer RNA (tRNA) molecules are approximately 80 nucleotides in length. The record is from Rfam by way of RNAcentral. Lineage: Eukaryota; Metazoa; Chordata; Mammalia; Artiodactyla; Camelidae.
GGCAGAGGGGCCUAGUGGCUAAGAGCCUUGUUGAGGACACACAGACCUGAGUUCAAAUCCCAGCUCUGCCA